RNAcentral lists this ribosomal RNA (729 nucleotides) under uncultured eukaryote. RNAcentral describes it as "SSU rRNA". It matches the Rfam family "Eukaryotic small subunit ribosomal RNA", at positions 670 to 1426 of the family's 1831-position model. The record is from RNAcentral.
CGCGUGUACUGGUCCGGCCGGGCCUUUCCCUCUGUGGAACCCCAUGCCCUUCACUGGGUGUGGCGGGGAAACAGGACUUUUACUUUGAAAAAAUUAGAGUGCUCCAGGCAGGCCUAUGCUCGAAUACAUUAGCAUGGAAUAAUAGAAUAGGACGUGUGGUUCUAUUUUGUUGGUUUCUAGGACCGCCGUAAUGAUUAAUAGGGACAGUCGGGGGCAUCAGUAUUCAAUUGUCAGAGGUGAAAUUCUUGGAUUUAUUGAAGACUAACUACUGCGAAAGCAUUUGCCAAGGAUGUUUUCAUUAAUCAGGAACGAAAGUUAGGGGAUCGAAGACGAUCAGAUACCGUCGUAGUCUUAACCAUAAACUAUGCCGACUAGGGAUCGGACGAUGUUAUUUUUUGACUCGUUCGGCACCUUACGAGAAAUCAAAGUGCUUGGGCUCCAGGGGGAGUAUGGUCGCAAGGCUGAAACUUAAAGAAAUUGACGGAAGGGCACCACCAGGGGUGGAGCCUGCGGCUUAAUUUGACUCAACACGGGGAAACUCACCAGGUCCAGACACAAUGAGGAUUGACAGAUUGAGAGCUCUUUCUUGAUUUUGUGGGUGGUGGUGCAUGGCCGUUCUUAGUUGGUGGAGUGAUUUGUCUGCUUAAUUGCGAUAACGAACGAGACCUUAACCUGCUAAAUAGCCCGUAUUGCUUUGGCAGUACGCUGGCUUCUUAGAGGGACUAUCGG